GACGAACGCUGGCGGCGUGCCUAAUACAUGCAAGUUGAGCGCUGAAGGUUGGUACUUGUACCAACUGGAUGAGCAGCGAACGGGUGAGUAACGCGUGGGGAAUCUGCCUUUGAGCGGGGGUCAACAUUUGGAAACGAAUGCUAAUACCGCAUAAAAACUUUAAACACAAGUUUUAAGUUUGAAAGAUGCAAUUGCAUCACUCAAAGAUGAUCCCGCGUUGUAUUAGCUAGUUGGUGAGGUAAAGGCUCACCAAGGCGAUGAUACAUAGCCGACCUGAGAGGGUGAUCGGCCACAUUGGGACUGAGACACGGCCCAAACUCCUACGGGAGGCAGCAGUAGGGAAUCUUCGGCAAUGGACGAAAGUCUGACCGAGCAACGCCGCGUGAGUGAAGAAGGUUUUCGGAUCGUAAAACUCUGUUGGUAGAGAAGAACGUUGGUGAGAGUGGAAAGCUCAUCAAGUGACGGUAACUACCCAGAAAGGGACGGCUAACUACGUG
RNAcentral lists this ribosomal RNA (497 nucleotides) under uncultured bacterium. RNAcentral's name for it is "partial 16S ribosomal RNA". It matches the Rfam family "Bacterial small subunit ribosomal RNA", at positions 28 to 507 of the family's 1533-position model. The record is from RNAcentral.